Molecule: ribosomal RNA, 450 nt
Filed under: uncultured bacterium
Lineage: Bacteria
Description: partial 16S ribosomal RNA
Rfam family: Bacterial small subunit ribosomal RNA
Source: RNAcentral
GUGGGGAAUUUUGGACAAUGGGCGCAAGCCUGAUCCAGCCAUGCCGCGUGCAGGAUGAAGGCCUUCGGGUUGUAAACUGCUUUUGUACGGAACGAAAAGACUCCUUCUAAUAAAGGGGGUCCAUGACGGUACCGUAAGAAUAAGCACCGGCUAACUACGUGCCAGCAGCCGCGGUAAUACGUAGGGUGCAAGCGUUAAUCGGAAUUACUGGGCGUAAAGCGUGCGCAGGCGGUUAUAUAAGACAGAUGUGAAAUCCCCGGGCUCAACCUGGGAACUGCAUUUGUGACUGUAUAGCUAGAGUACGGUAGAGGGGGAUGGAAUUCCGCGUGUAGCAGUGAAAUGCGUAGAUAUGCGGAGGAACACCGAUGGCGAAGGCAAUCCCCUGGACCUGUACUGACGCUCAUGCACGAAAGCGUGGGGAGCAAACAGGAUUAGAUACCCUUGUAGUCC